GCAUAUCAAUAAGCGGAGGAAAAGAAACCAACAGGGAUUGCCCUAGUAACGGCGAGUGAAGCGGCAACAGCUCAAAUUUGAAAUCUGGCUUCGGCCCGAGUUGUAAUCUGGAGAGGAAGCUUUGGGCGCGGCGCCAACUGAGUCCCCUGGAACGGGGCGCCACAGAGGGUGAGAGCCCCGUAUAGUUGGACGCCUAGCCUGUGUAGAGCUCCUUCGACGAGUCGAGUAGUUUGGGAAUGCUGCUCAAAAUGGGAGGUAAAUUUCUUCUAAAGCUAAAUACCAGCCAGAGACCGAUAGCGCACAAGUAGAGUGAUCGAAAGAUGAAAAGCACUUUGAAAAGAGGGUUAAACAGCACGUGAAAUUGUUGAAAGGGAAGCGCUUGUGACCAGACUCGCGCCGGGCUGAUCAUCCGGUGUUCUCACCGGUGCACUCUGCCCGGCUCGGGCCAGCAUCGGUUCCUGCGGGGGGAUAAAGGCUCCGGGAACGUAGCUCCUCCGGGAGUGUUAUAGCCCGGGGCGCAAUGCCCCCGCGGGGACCGAGGACCGCGCUCUGCAAGGAUGCUGGCGUAAUGGUCACCAGCGACCCGUCUUGAAACACGGACC
Molecule: ribosomal RNA, 602 nt
Filed under: Thielavia sp.
Lineage: Eukaryota; Fungi; Ascomycota; Sordariomycetes; Coronophorales; Ceratostomataceae
Also listed under: 1 other name
Description: partial large subunit ribosomal RNA
Rfam family: Eukaryotic large subunit ribosomal RNA
Source: RNAcentral